CACUCCUACGGGAGGCAGCAGUGGGGAAUAUCGCACAAUGGGCGCAAGCCUGAUGCAGCCAUGCCGCGUGUAUGAAGAAGGCCUUCGGGUUGUAAAGUACUUUCAGCGGGGAGGAAGGCGAUAAGGUUAAUAACCUUGUCGAUUGACGUUACCCGCAGAAGAAGCACCGGCUAACUCCGUGCCAGCAGCCGCGGUAAUACGGAGGGUGCAAGCGUUAAUCGGAAUUACUGGGCGUAAAGCGCACGCAGGCGGUCUGUCAAGUCGGAUGUGAAAUCCCCGGGCUCAACCUGGGAACUGCAUUCGAAACUGGCAGGCUAGAGUCUUGUAGAGGGGGGUAGAAUUCCAGGUGUAGCGGUGAAAUGCGUAGAGAUCUGGAGGAAUACCGGUGGCGAAGGCGGCCCCCUGGACAAAGACUGACGCUCAGGUGCGAAAGCGUGGGGAGCAAACAGGAUUAGAUACCCUAGUAGUCCCAUGAU
RNAcentral lists this ribosomal RNA (476 nucleotides) under uncultured organism. RNAcentral describes it as "partial 16S ribosomal RNA". It matches the Rfam family "Bacterial small subunit ribosomal RNA", at positions 334 to 801 of the family's 1533-position model. The record is from RNAcentral.